UAAGGAGUAAUCCUGAACAUGAGUAUAAGGAGUAAUCGAAUUAAAAGAAAAUAAUUUUUCAUCAAAGUUAUAAACCAACCCAAUUUCAAUGUACCUCAUCAAAUAUUUCUAAUAUUCCACAACACUGAUUAGUUCCGCGGGAACAUAGUGAUAAAUCCGAACAAACCAAACAACACCCAAUUUAAAGCAUGAGAUGCAAGGAAGAGAGAUAAAUGUCACCCAUCCUAGCAGGUCACCACAUCGUGAAGCUUGAUGCCAAUUUGAAAGUAGAGCCCCCGAAUUCCUCUUAAUCCCCAAGGAUGAUCAAUGCGAAUGUGAACUCCUUGUUCCAUCUCUGAGGUUGGUGUUCACACAAUUCCUGACAGAAAAAAACAUGAAAACGUGCUAGACACACAGCUACAAACUGCAUGCAUAUUAAGAAGGACAUACAUUAUGGAUACUAGGGCAACAACCAGUACUUUGUCGCCUCCCACUACAGGCUACCUUGCAACACUGGACAUGACUCCACAUAUUCUGUAACCGUAGAAACGAAGACACCAUUGGCUAUUGCCGCCUUUAACGAUUUCCACUACCACCAACACUUCACCAUCCCAGACCAAGCAGCAAAGGCUCAUGCUGUUUCCGCACACAUCUUAGGAAAACACAAAAGAGAUUCUGAAAAUAAUACAUAAGGAAAGAAGAGUUUUGAAUAUAAACCCUAGACAGAUAGAUUAAACGCCAUGUGCAUCUACAAUUUUGUAUGAAGGGUUUAGGGUAUAUAUAAGGCAAUGCAUGAUUAUGAUCUGCAACCUCUAUGAUUGUGAUCAUCGGAUAAACAUUGUAUAGAGCUACAGAAGUAGUCAAACAAGUUGGAUUACAUGGUUAGAUAACUCAAGAUGUACCUUGCUGCACCUUGAAGUGGAGUUUGGCUCAUUUUCACGGGGUCAAUGGUACCAUCCUUGAUCAUGUACCACAAUAGUAUCAACGGUGACAUAGGACACCAGGAAAAUAAACCUUGAUUCUCUGCGUUUUGGAUCUAGCUACCCGUCAUGGCCUCCGUCAAGAGUAUAUUUUCUCCGUUGAUAGAGUUGUACUUCUUCUAUCACUCAUCACCGACCCUGUACCAUCACCACCGCCAAAACCACCAGAAAAUUGAAUGUCAACUCCAGAAGCAAUGCUAUGGUACCAAUGAUGCAUGGAAUAAUUAUUAUGAAAAGUUACAUUGUACAUUUGUGCCAAGAAAACACAAAUGAAAUCAAGAUAGCUACCUCAUUAUGGUGAUCUUGCUGUCGAAAACUCUGACACACAAUUAGCAUCUCGCAAACAAAGUAAGAUAAAACUAAAGGUACACAUUAAUUAAACAUAAUGUAACGCAAAAUCUGAUCCAGGAAAAAAAUAACUACAAAUCUCUACAUAACCCAAAAGUCACCUAGUAAAAAGGUCGCAAAAAGAUUUUACGUCCACUAUAAGAAAAGGCUAAUGAACGAAAACAAUAUUUGUGAAGGUCGCGUUGCUAUCAAUAAGAAUACCAAAUCAUGUUGUGGAUAACCAAAUUCAACCUCAUGUCUUCGGUAGUCUAGAGCUAUACAUUACAAAAUUACGUUCAUGCAGCAGAAAUGAAUGUAUUAACAUGGUUUAUUACGAUAAAUAAGUUGUCUUGCCUAGCAAAUACUUCCUCUGUAUCAAAAUAUAAGACGUUUCAUGUCCACUAUAAGAACAGGCAAAUGAACGAAAACAAUAUUUCUGAACGUUCACGUUGCUAUCAAUAAGAAGACCAAAUCAUGUGGAUAACAAAAUUCAACCUCAUGUGUUCGGCAGCCAGGAGCUAUACAUUCCAAAAUUAUGUUGAUGUAGAAGAAAUGAAUGUAUUAACAUGCUUUAUUAUGAUAAAUAAAUUGUCUUGCCUAGCAAAUACUUCUUUUAUAUCAAAAUAUAAGACAUUUUUUGAUACAAAAGGAGUAUACAAAAACAUCUUAUAUUUUGAUACGGAGACAACAUACCUCACUUGUUUAGCAUAUAUUCCUUCAGCUUAACUUGUGAAUGUAUCAAACUCUAACUACCUCUUCACAAAACACAUACAGUGAGUUAAGAGAGGUGUGAAGACCUUGUACCUGCAAGCAUAUUACCAAAUAGUAGAGAUAAUCAAGUUUGUUGAACCUCCAAAAAUAAAAUGCUCAUCAAUAGAACAACAACUUGCUAUGUUAUCAAAAUAACAAAAAUGGGCUUGCAAGUACAUAGCAGGUGUAGAACAACUUUUUUUUAAUGUUUCAACAGUAAAACUCACAAGGAUGAGCUUGCAGGUACAGAGAUGAAAUACUACUCAAAAUGAAAAACAAAUGUCCCUUGCAGAAGGGAUCCAAGCAAUUGAGUAAUAGGUAAAAUCAUGAUGACAUAAAAAUGAGGAAUACACAAAAUUUUGUUGUUAAUGGUACCAACAGGGUGAGAGUUUGUCAUGCCGUGUUGAUGGACUGCAUAUUUGAC
RNAcentral lists this long non-coding RNA (2460 nucleotides) under Hordeum vulgare. RNAcentral's name for it is "long non-coding RNA (HVUL_LNC004500)". Lineage: Eukaryota; Viridiplantae; Streptophyta; Magnoliopsida; Poales; Poaceae. The record is from RNAcentral.